GGAUAUUCCGACUCCUUAAGGGCCUGGCGCACAUAAGGUGUGACCUUUUCAUUCCCGUUGUUAUGGAGGGCCACAUCUGCCAGAGCCUGGAGUCUGCGAAGGCCGGGACCCGGUUCCCCGGCCCACAGUGGGGGUGUGCAAACCCGAGAGAACUGGUCGCUGAAACCUCUACAACUUAGUUGACCGUAACUGCCAGAGCCCUGCCCUGAAUUCCUGUCCUUACUCCCUCUUUAAGAUUGCGUACCCACUGCAGAGUGCUGAAGACGGGGUAGCCACGAGGUUGCAAAUUCGUGAAGAAUCAGCAUCAUGUUUGGCAGCUGAGUAUUGGAGCCAGGAGCCUGCCAUGAGGUUUUGAGAACAGAGUGCUGUUUUAGAGCUGGCAGCAGCAUCUCAGCCCAAGAGAAGGUUAUAUUCCCAGAGGAUGUCAGUCCCAAGGACCAGUAGCUGCCAUCAGUUUGGAUUCUGAAAACUAACUGGCAUCAACACUGGGUGUAGAAACAUGCUUGCCUUAUGUAUCAGAGGACAUGCUCAGCAGAUCCAAGAGAUAUAUUUGGCAACUUUUUCUAGAAAAGGCACAUUGGGUAUCAUUCAUUACAUUCUUGAGUUUUUUUGGGUUUUUUUUUUUUUUUUUGAGACAGUCUUGCUGUAUUGCCCAGGCUGGAGUGUGGUGGCACAAUCACAGCUCAUUGCAUCCUCAAUCACCCAGGCCUAAGCAAUCCUCCCACCUUGUAGCUGGGACUACAGCUCACAGCACACCUGGCUAAAAUUUUUUUUUUGUUGAGACGGAUUCUCUAUGUUGCCCAGGCUGGUCUCAGGCUCCUGGGCUCAGAUGGUCCUCCUGCCUCAGCUUCCAAAGGCACAGGCCAAGUUGUAGCUUUGUCCCUUGCCAUCAUGCCCAACAAGAGGUUCUAUACCUUUUAAUGAAUUGACUUUCAUAAAUUGGUUAUGUUGGUGGGCAAAGUUCUUUAAGCUGGAAAUUGUAAAUUCCUCCUGAAAUGUUUUUUCAUGCAGUUACCAUGAACUAAUACUACAAUAAAGGAUGGUCUUGGGUGUCAAUUCUUGAAAA
RNAcentral lists this long non-coding RNA (1066 nucleotides) under Homo sapiens (human). Lineage: Eukaryota; Metazoa; Chordata; Mammalia; Primates; Hominidae. The record is from RNAcentral.